GGAAAAGUCUUCCAUUUGGUAGGGUAAGCCACUUGCUACGUGGUGUGUUUAUACACUUAGGUGUUCGAGUCACCUCUUUUCCG
RNAcentral lists this transfer RNA (83 nucleotides) under Orbiocrella petchii. RNAcentral describes it as "tRNA-Ser". The record is from RNAcentral. Lineage: Eukaryota; Fungi; Ascomycota; Sordariomycetes; Hypocreales; Clavicipitaceae.